RNAcentral lists this unclassified non-coding RNA (59 nucleotides) under Paenibacillus sp. Mis2. Its description in RNAcentral is "partial miscellaneous RNA". The record is from RNAcentral. Lineage: Bacteria; Bacillati; Bacillota; Bacilli; Caryophanales; Paenibacillaceae.
CUAUGGAGAAUCGUUUCCUGCAAYGGAAACAUUCAAAUAUGAAGCGUAAGCUUCAAAAA